Molecule: long non-coding RNA, 1993 nt
Filed under: Equus caballus (horse)
Lineage: Eukaryota; Metazoa; Chordata; Mammalia; Perissodactyla; Equidae
Description: lncRNA (ENSECAG00000050342.1)
Source: RNAcentral
GUUUGUUUUUUCAUUUUUAUAUGGUCAUUAACCAAAAAAAGCAAAAAAGACUACGUGACAGGGACUGUAAGUGGCCUGCCAAGUCUAAAAUAUUUUAUUCUCUGAUCCUUUCGAGAAAGUGUUUGCCAACUCCUGCCUUGGUCAAUUAAUAGAGAACCCUUGCCAGGCUUUAGCAGUAGGGCUCUCUUCGUGUUCAGUGCAGUGGGGGUGGUGAGGUUGGUGGAACUGCCUGACAAGUCCAUACAGUAGCUGUAGGUGAAACACCAGUCUUACUUGUCAGACUGGACAAGGACGGGGAGCAGCAAGAGGUGCUCCCAAAGGAUCUGACAUCAGCUGGCUCCCAGGAACUGUAGACCUGAGUGUUUCGCUUUGUUUUUAAACCGUUGUGCCUCCUCCCAUGUGACUGCUCCCUGGGCUGGUCCUGCUUCCUUUUCCAGUCUAGCCUGUGUCAUGGUUGGAGAUAAGUCAGUAUGUUCAAGUCUUCAAGGCAUCCUCACCCCAGAUCUCAGUCUUCUAAGUAAAGCUUAGAACAUAAUUUUCCUUACCUUUUCCAUUUCUGCUUAAUUCAGGGAGGAAAAAAAAAAUGCUGAAUUGCCCUUCUUAGAAAAUGAUGUAGUGCAGUCAUUAGACAUGUGGGGACAAUGUAUAAUAACAUCCUCAAAAGUGCUUGUAGCAUGACAUUAAGCGAGAAAGUUGGACACAAAUGUAGACAAACAGCAUAGUCUUAACUUUUUAAAAUAAACAAAUAGACAAACAACAGAAUAGCCAUCGAAAUAAGACAUUGGAAAGGAAACACUCCAAAGUUAACUGUGGUUGCCACAAAGAAUUGGAAUUCUGGGUUGUGUUUUUCAUCUUUAAACUUUUCUAUACUUUCAAAUUAUCCUGCCAAAAGAAUGUAUAGUUUUAAAACAAGAUUAAAAAAUAACAGUUUGACCUAAUGCUACUUUGGUGUAUUCUAGUCAGAAGAAACAUGUAUACAUUUACACUCACAUGUCAUCCUGGGAACAGAUGGAAAGUGCAUCUGUAAAGAUGUGAUUUGAAUCAAAUUGUCACAGUUACCAGAAACCGGCAGAAAAUGAAGAAAAAUGGAUAUCAGGGAGCCUUGAAUUAUUCUGGACACAGUGAGAAGGCAGCCAUCUGUAAGCCAGGAAGAGAGCUGUCACCAGGGACUGAAUCCAGCGCAUUGAUUUUGGACUUCUAACCUUCAGAACUGUGAGAAAUAAAUGUCAUUUAAGCCAUCAGUCUAUGGUACUUUGUUAUAGCAGCCUGAGCUGAUUAAGACACAGGGUUUUAUGAGCUUGAUCUUGAAGGCUCGUUUUGACUCUACAAUUCUAACAUUCUUUUCCAAAGUCCCCUCUGUUAUUGGCUGUGUUCAUUUCUGCCACUCUGCUGUCACUCAAGCCAUUCCUCCUCACUGCUAUGUUUUCUGCAACUCCUCACCAUUAAUCAAGAUCUUCUGCGAACUUAGAGGUUGAGCACACAUUUCAGCUCACAGGUGUGAAGAAAAAGCAGGGUCAAAUCCAAAUAUUUCUCUUUACUUUCAUGCGACCUUGAACAGUUACUUAACUUCUCUAUGCCUCCAUCUGCAAAGUGGAGUUAAUAAUACUUACAGGAUAAGAGUUGUGAUGAUUAAAUGGAAUUAAACAUGUAAAGCACCCACAUAGACCGGAGUUUGGCCCAUUUUUCUGCAAAAGAUCAGAUAGUAAAUAAUUUAGGCUUGCAGGGCAUGUGGUCUCUCAGCUUUGGCUUUGUAGGGCAAAAAGGACCACAGACAAUAUGCAAACAAAUGAGUGUGGCUGUGUUCCAAUAAAACUUUAUUUAUAAAAACAGGUGGCAGGCUGGAUUUGCACCCCGCCACCUGCAGCACUGGGCUUUGCUAUUCCAGGUAGCAGAUUAGGAUUCUCAUUGCUUUUUUAAAUUUAAACACACUUUAAGCUGUUUUAUGUUAUCCUUGGCUCUCCAUGGGGCCGCUCUUUUCCUCCCUGACUCACCC